Molecule: ribosomal RNA, 253 nt
Filed under: uncultured bacterium
Lineage: Bacteria
Description: partial 16S ribosomal RNA
Rfam family: Bacterial small subunit ribosomal RNA
Source: RNAcentral
CACGUAGGGCGCGAGCGUUGUCCGGAAUUAUUGGGCGUAAAGAGCUCGUAGGCGGCCUGUUGCGUCCGCUGUGAAAGCCCGGGGCUUAACCCCGGGUCGGCAGUGGAUACGGGCAGGCUAGAGGUAGGUAGGGGAGAAUGGAAUUCCCGGUGUAGCGGUGAAAUGCGCAGAUAUCGGGAGGAACACCUGUGGCGAAAGCGGCGCACUGGACCAUAACUGACGCUGAUGCGCGGAAGCUAGGGGAGCAAACAGG